GGACAUGAGGGCAGCCUGGCUGUGACAUCUGUUGCCCCAUUGAUCGCCAGGAUUGAUUUGGCUGAUGUGGCUGCCUAGGCGGGUGUCCCCUUCCCCCCUCACGGCUCCACAUGCACUCCUUCUGAAGCUGCAUGCUCGGUCAAAGAGGACAGCCAUCCCCAAUAGAGGAGGCUCGGUCUUCGGUUAAGGGUACACGAGCAGCUGUGCCCCACUGCUAGAACCUUCAAACAUACUCUCAAUUUAUUCAUUAUGGAAGGACUGUCAAAUGCCAUCACUUUGUGUAGAUGGUCUUGGAUGUUUCAUGUUAAAAAAAACAUUCCUGAA
This is an unclassified non-coding RNA of Cebus imitator (Panamanian white-faced capuchin), 324 nucleotides long. Its record names the gene 7SK. It matches the Rfam family "7SK RNA". Rfam says of the family: 7SK was discovered as an abundant small nuclear RNA in the mid-70s but a possible function has only recently been suggested. NCBI's taxonomy places the organism in Eukaryota, Metazoa, Chordata, Mammalia, Primates, Cebidae. The record is from Ensembl.